Hyla sarda is the source of this 931-nucleotide long non-coding RNA. RefSeq lists it as uncharacterized. NCBI's taxonomy places the organism in Eukaryota, Metazoa, Chordata, Amphibia, Anura, Hylidae. The record is from RefSeq and is a predicted model, not a curated record. The transcript is spliced from 5 exons.
AAUGUUUCAUGAAGGUUCUUCAAGACAAAUUCUGUCCAUUCUCCAUGAAGAGCUCCGCCCUCUGCUACAUAGUAUGUCUGGAAGUAAUCUAAGGGACUGAACUCAUCUAUAAAGGGAAUGCAGAUCAGAUGGCAAGGAAGCGGGUAAGGGAUCUUCUGCCAUCCUCUCAGCUGAUCGGGUACCGAGUUAGUUGAGAAUGCCAUCAAGGUCGUACCAGUGGCCUACAGGUGGUAGGCUUGGAGAGAGAGACCAAUAAUAUAAGAGGGGGACCCAUUUCUAAGAGGCUCUUACAGAUUGAAUCCAAGUGGAUCUUUGAAUUGAGGACAGUGGCACCUUUGGGUAUGAAUGAAGAGCUCCUCUUCACUGGCUUCUUAGGACUAUGGACGGUUGAAUUACUUUAGUUAUCACUGUAAUAAUUUGGAAUGAAAUUCUCAGGACCCCAUGUAGUUUAGAUAUGGGGUGGAUAGCGAUUAUUCAUGUACAAGCAUUUAUGAGGAAUCGUACUUCAUAUACUCACCAGAGAAGACGGGUGCUUGUGGGAGCGGAGGACUGGUACUACCUCUGGUUAUGAUGUGGGCAAGAGGUUCCCCUGAAAGAGAAAGAAGAAAGAGGGAAGUUGCAACACAAGCGUGAUUCAAGAUUAUGACAAUUGGGUCUUUAAUCUGGACACUGGACACUUGACAAACCGCUUUGGGCGGGUUCUCUGACAAAAAAAAAAGACUCUGAGAUAGAGUCUGGUUUAAUGUUUAUGAUUAGGGAUUAAUGAGUGACAUUACAUACUAAUGAGCGACAUUAUGGAUCAACACACCAAGUAUGGACGACCUCUGAUUAUAAAUGAUUAUAAAUGUAUAUACUGAUUUUGAUAUUAGAUAGGUGGUGCAUCAGUUCUCCCUAAACCGUGUACUACAAAUGAUAUAAAUAAUACUAUUGA